GAUGAACGCUGGCGGCGUGCUUAACACAUGCAAGUCGAACGGAAAGGCCCAAGCUUGCUUGGGUACUCGAGUGGCGAACGGGUGAGUAACACGUGGGUGAUCUGCCCUGCACUUCGGGAUAAGCCUGGGAAACUGGGUCUAAUACCGGAUAGGACGAUGGUUUGGAUGCCAUUGUGGAAAGUUUUUUCGGUGUGGGAUGAGCUCGCGGCCUAUCAGCUUGUUGGUGGGGUAAUGGCCUACCAAGGCGUCGACGGGUAGCCGGCCUGAGAGGGUGUACGGCCACAUUGGGACUGAGAGACGGCCCAGACUCCUACGGGAGGCAGCAGGGGGGAAUAUUGCACAAUGGGCGCAAGCCUGAUGCAGCGACGCCGCGUGGGGGAUGACGGCCUUCGGGUUGUAAACUCCUUUCGCUAGGGACGAAGCGUUUUUGUGACGGUACCUGGAGAAGAAGCACCGGCUAACUACGUG
RNAcentral lists this ribosomal RNA (468 nucleotides) under uncultured bacterium. RNAcentral's name for it is "partial 16S ribosomal RNA". It matches the Rfam family "Bacterial small subunit ribosomal RNA", at positions 28 to 507 of the family's 1533-position model. The record is from RNAcentral.